This 452-nucleotide ribosomal RNA is filed under the name Rhodopsalta cruentata. RNAcentral's name for it is "partial large subunit ribosomal RNA". Lineage: Eukaryota; Metazoa; Arthropoda; Insecta; Hemiptera; Cicadidae. The record is from RNAcentral.
GCCCAAUGAUUUAAAAUUAAAUGGCCGCGGUAAAUUGACCGUGCAAAGGUAGCAUAAUAAAUAGUCUUUUAAUUGGAGGCUUGAAUGAAUGAUUGAAUGAAAAAUUAACUUAAUUAGUGUUAAUAAUUGAAAUUGAUUUUUAAGUAAAAAAGCUUAAAUAUAUAAGUGGGACGAGAAGACCCUAUAGAAUUUUGAAAAUUUUCUUGAGUUUACUAAUUUGUAGUUAAUUAAUUUUUUUUAUUUAAUUAAUUUUUUUGUUGGGGUGAUGUUAAAAUAGAAUUAACUUUUAAUAAAUAUUUCAUUAAUAUAUGUUUUUAUUGAUCCAAAUUUUUGAUUAUAAGAAUAAAUUACCUUAGGGAUAACAGCGUAAUUAAUUUGAAGAGUUCAUAUCGAUAAAUAAGAUUGCGACCUCGAUGUUGGAUUAAGAAUAGGAAUUGGAGCAAAAUUUAUUA